ACAUCUACAACCGCUCAGCUAUAAGUUUAAGUACAUGAAAAUGUCACUUAUACUGGCGAGUCUUAGAUAA
This 70-nucleotide small RNA is filed under the name uncultured Atopostipes sp. The record is from RNAcentral. Lineage: Bacteria; Bacillati; Bacillota; Bacilli; Lactobacillales; Carnobacteriaceae.